AAGGAGUUAGUUAAAAUAUAACAUUAGAGUGUCAAUCUAAAAUAACUAAGUUAGUACACCUUG
This 63-nucleotide transfer RNA is filed under the name Ranacris albicornis. RNAcentral's name for it is "tRNA-Asp". The record is from RNAcentral. Lineage: Eukaryota; Metazoa; Arthropoda; Insecta; Orthoptera; Acrididae.